UAGAUCGUUAAAAUGUUUUAAUGGUAGAGCAUAUAAAGUAUACAGAUUCUUGUGAGUCUGAUUUAUUUCAGUACUCAAAAUUUAUUUGCAUAUUAUUGUACAUAUAAAUCUGACAAAGGUUUUUUUUGUUUUGUUUUUUAAGUGAGAAUUUUAAAAUAUAAUUUUGAAAGGUAACAAUUAAUAUUCUUUUUUUAAACAAUAAAAAGAAUAACUAUAAGUAAAAUAAAUUUUGAGUAUAUGUAUAAUAGUAUAUCCAAACUAUUUGAAAUAAAUAAAUAAAAUCAAACAUUAUAUUUUUGUUUUAUUGAAGUAU
This is a non-coding RNA of Biomphalaria pfeifferi, 313 nucleotides long. The record is from the annotation of a GenBank genome assembly. Lineage: Eukaryota; Metazoa; Mollusca; Gastropoda; Planorbidae.